UGGGGAAUAUUGGACAAUGGGCGAAAGCCUGAUCCAGCCAUGCCGCGUGUGUGAAGAAGGUCUUCGGAUUGUAAAGCACUUUAAGUUGGGAGGAAGGGCAGUAAGCGAAUACCUUGCUGUUUUGACGUUACCGACAGAAUAAGCACCGGCUAACUCUGUGCCAGCAGCCGCGGUAAUACAGAGGGUGCAAGCGUUAAUCGGAAUUACUGGGCGUAAAGCGCGCGUAGGUGGUUCGUUAAGUUGAAUGUGAAAGCCCCGGGCUCAACCUGGGAACUGCAUCCAAAACUGGCGAGCUAGAGUAGGGCAGAGGGUGGUGGGAUUUCCUGUGUAGCGGUAAAAUGCGUAGAUAUAGGAAGGAACACCAGUGGCGAAGGAGACCACCUGGGCUCAUACUGACACUGAGGUGCGAAAGCGUGGGGAGCAAACAGG
This 429-nucleotide ribosomal RNA is filed under the name Pseudomonadota bacterium. RNAcentral's name for it is "Proteobacteria bacterium partial 16S ribosomal RNA". It matches the Rfam family "Bacterial small subunit ribosomal RNA", at positions 355 to 776 of the family's 1533-position model. Lineage: Bacteria; Pseudomonadati; Pseudomonadota. The record is from RNAcentral.